This 955-nucleotide ribosomal RNA is filed under the name Amanita sp. RNAcentral's name for it is "partial large subunit ribosomal RNA". It matches the Rfam family "Eukaryotic large subunit ribosomal RNA", at positions 36 to 958 of the family's 3401-position model. Lineage: Eukaryota; Fungi; Basidiomycota; Agaricomycetes; Agaricales; Amanitaceae. The record is from RNAcentral.
UAGCAUAUCAAUAAGCGGAGGAAAAGAAACUAACAAGGAUUCCCCUAGUAACUGCGAGUGAAGCGGGAAAAGCUCAAAUUUGAAAUCUGGCAGUCUUUUUUUUCUUCUUUGGCUGUCCGAGUUGUAAUCUAGAGAAGUGCUUACCUGCACUGGACCAUGUAUAAGUCUCCUGGAAUGGAGCGUCACAGAGGGUGAGAAUCCCGUCUUUGACAUGGACUGCCAGUGUGUUGUGGUGUGCUCUCAAAGAGUCGAGUUGUUUGGGAAUGCAGCUCUAAAUGGGUGGUAAACUCCAUCUAAAGCUAAAUAUUGGCGAGAGACCGAUAGUGAACAAGUACCGUGAGGGAAAGAUGAAAAGGACUUUGGAAAGAGAGUUAAACAGUAUGUGAAAUUGUUGAAAGGGAAACGCUUGAAGUCAGUUAUGUUGGCUAGGGAUCAACCUAGCUAUUUUUGCUGGGUGAAUUUUCUAGUCUGACAGGCCAACAUCAGUCUUGACUGCUGGAAAAGAGCAGAGGGAAUGUGGCACCUUUGGGUGUGUUAUAGCCCUUUGUCAUAUGUAGCAGUUGGGACUGAGGGAUGCAGCGUGCCGCGAGGCUGGGUUUCGACCACGUUCACGCUUAGGAUGUUGGCUUUUAAUGGCUUCAAUCGACCCGUCUUGAAACACGGACCAAGGAGUCUAACAUGCCUGCGAGUGUUUGGGUGGAAAACCCUUGCGCACAAUGAAAGUGAAAGUUGAGAUCCCUGUCAUGGGGAGCAUCGACGCCCGGACCUGAGCUUUUAGCAAUGGAUCCGCGGUAGAGCAUGCAUGUUGGGACCCGAAAGAUGGUGAACUAUGCCUGAAUAGGGCAAAGCCAGAGGAAACUCUGGUGGAGGCUCGUAGCGAUUCUGACGUGCAAAUCGAUCGUCAAAUUUGGGUAUAGGGGCGAAAGACUAAUCGAACCAUCUAGUAGCUGGGUUC